Pelobates cultripes (western spadefoot toad) is the source of this 209-nucleotide non-coding RNA. Lineage: Eukaryota; Metazoa; Chordata; Amphibia; Anura; Pelobatidae. The record is from the annotation of a GenBank genome assembly.
AUUUAGUAUAUGUGCCUCCAGUUUUAAAACAAAUGCAAUUCGUCUGAAUUUAGGGUGAUCGGGUCUUCCAAAUUCUGUAACUCUAAUCGCCAUGUGAACACACCCUGAAACAACUAAAAUCGAUGAUGGACUAACCAUUUUGAUUGAUUUAUGAUCGGGAGUUAGGCUGUAAUAAGUAGUGUCAGUAAUUCCCUGGCAUACCCCUCCAC